RNAcentral lists this ribosomal RNA (522 nucleotides) under uncultured Sphingomonas sp. RNAcentral describes it as "partial 23S ribosomal RNA". The stretch from base 1 to 149 matches the Rfam family "Bacterial large subunit ribosomal RNA", at positions 1881 to 2038 of the family's 2925-position model. The record is from RNAcentral. Lineage: Bacteria; Pseudomonadati; Pseudomonadota; Alphaproteobacteria; Sphingomonadales; Sphingomonadaceae.
GAGGAGGAGUGCAAGCUCCGAAUUGAAGCCCCAGUAAACGGCGGCCGUAACUAUAACGGUCCUAAGGUAGCGAAAUUCCUUGUCGGGUAAGUUCCGACCUGCACGAAUGGCGUAACGACUUCCCCGCUGUCUCAACCAUGAACUCGGCGGUCGACGCGGCCGCGGCCGCGUCGACGCGGGAGAACCAGCAGCGAGGAGAUCGGCAGGCCGGCUAUGUUGAGAACAAGCACGAGCUGCGGCAACAUCCAUGCAAGGAUGAUCGGCAGUUCCGCUCUUAGCGGCCCGCUGGCGAUCACCCACGGCCGCCGCGCCACGAUGAGCGCGCCGCUCAACAAUAGGGCCAGAUCGUAGUUGUGGAUGUAGGGGGUGAUCAGAACCGUCGCCAGCAACAGGAGUGCGGCGCGGCGUUCCGGGUCGUGGACACGCCAGAUGCGCCACGCGAAAACGAGGCCGACACCGCAGGCGAAGGCGGCGUGGAUCGCCAGGGCGAAGGCGGAGUUUCCGGUCACGAUGCGCAAGCCC